CAAUGGGGGUUUUAAGUUUUAUUUGAGCAAGAAGAACAAGGAAGCAAUUUGCCUACUGCCUGGAGCAAGUGAGGUAAUGUUGACAGAUAUCAGACAGAAAGCAGAUCAUCCCCAGUUCAGUAUUUUCUGUAGAGAAGGCUGUUCAGAGAGAGAAAGUCAAAUGAAAGAAGAACAUCUUGAAUUUAUACAAUGACUGGGAGAAGGCUUAAUGUGUUCUUAGAAUUGUAACUCCUAUUUGGAGAGAUUGCAAAAAGGAGCACCAGGGACAGAACCCUUGGAAGGGCCACAGGGGAUGGCAAAUGGCUCUCUCAGUUAGCUGGCUGAGCAUGUGAGCAGUCCGUACGACCAAGAUCAUUGUUGUCUCCAGCAGUGGAGAGCACCAGGUAUCUGAAAUCCCCAGGGCAAUUUCUGUUCAUGGAUAAGCCGGAUAAGCCUGGACUUCCCAAGUGAUGUCACAGUGAGACUUGAGCUUCGAUAACCAAGAACUUCAAGACCAAACCAUCAUUUCAAGAGAUUAUCGAGAAAAUGAAUGUGAGAAGAGCUUG
This 545-nucleotide long non-coding RNA is filed under the name Homo sapiens (human). RNAcentral's name for it is "HSALNT0113883". Lineage: Eukaryota; Metazoa; Chordata; Mammalia; Primates; Hominidae. The record is from RNAcentral.